CGUCUGCAUUAAUAAUGGGUCACGUCUGCAUUAAUAAUGGGUCACGUCUGCACUAAUAAGGGGUCACGUCUGCAUUAAUAAUGGGUCACGUCUGCAUUAAUAAUGGGUCACGUCUGCAUUAAUAAUGGGUCACGUCUGCAUUAAUAAGGGGUCACGUCUGCAUUAAUAAUGGGUCACGUCUGCAUUAAUAAGGUGUCACGUCUGCAUUAAUAAUGGGUCACGUCUGCAUUAAUAAUGGGUCACGUCUGCAUUAAUAAUGGGUCACGUCUGCAUUAAUAAUGGGUCACGUCUGCAUUAAUAAUGGGUCACGUCUGCAUUAAUAAGGGGUCACGUCUGCAUUAAUAAUGGGUCACGUCUGCAUUAAUAAGGGGUCACGUCUGCAUUAAUAAGGUGUCACGUCUGCAUUAAUAAGGUGUCACGUCUGCAUUAAUAAUGGGUCACGUCUGCAUUAAUAAUGGGUCACGUCUGCAUUAAUAAGGGGUCACGUCUGCAUUAAUAAGGUGUCACGUCUGCAUUAAUAAGGUGUCACGUCUGCAUUAAUAAUGGGUCACGUCUGCAUUAAUAAUGGGUCACGUCUGCAUUAAUAAGGGGUCACGUCUGCAUUAAUAAUGGGUCACGUCUGCAUUAAUAAUGGGUCACGUCUGCAUUAAUAAGGGGUCACGUCUGCAUUAAUAAUGGGUCACGUCUGCAUUAAUAAGGGGUCACGUCUGCAUUAAUAAGGUGUCACGUCUGCAUUAAUAAGGGGUCACGUCUGCAUUAAUAAGGGGUCACGUCUGCAUUAAUAAUGGGUCACGUCUGCAUUAAUAAGGGGUCACGUCUGCAUUAAUAAGGUGUCACGUCUGCACUAAUAAGGGGUCACGUCUGCAUUAAUAAGGUGUCACGUCUGCAUUAAUAAGGGGUCACGUCUGCACUAAUAAGGGGUCACGUCUGCAUUAAUAAGGGGUCACGUCUGCAUUAAUAAGGGGUCACGUCUGCAUUAAUAAGGGGUCACGUCUGCAUUAAUAAGGUGUCACGUCUGCAUUAAUAAGGGGUCACGUCUGCAUUAAUAAGGUGUCACGUCUGCAUUAAUAAUGGGUCACGUCUGCAUUAAUAAGGGGUCACGUCUGCAUUAAUAAUGGGUCACGUCUGCAUUAAUAAUGGGUCACGUCUGCACUAAUAAGGGGUCACGUCUGCAUUAAUAAUGGGUCACGUCUGCAUUAAUAAUGGGUCACGUCUGCAUUAAUAAUGGGUCACGUCUGCAUUAAUAAUGGGUCACGUCUGCAUUAAUAAUGGGUCACGUCUGCAUU
Long non-coding RNA from Oncorhynchus keta (chum salmon), 1286 nucleotides. RefSeq lists it as uncharacterized. NCBI's taxonomy places the organism in Eukaryota, Metazoa, Chordata, Actinopteri, Salmoniformes, Salmonidae. The record is from RefSeq and is a predicted model, not a curated record. The transcript is spliced from 3 exons.